UNUGUCCAUUAGCUCAGUGUUUUAACUUGA
This 30-nucleotide non-coding RNA is filed under the name Rattus norvegicus (Norway rat). Lineage: Eukaryota; Metazoa; Chordata; Mammalia; Rodentia; Muridae. The record is from RNAcentral.